UAGGGAAUAUUGGGCAAUGGACGGAAGUCUGACCCAGCCAUGCCGCGUGCAGGAAGAAGGCGCUCAGCGUUGUAAACUGCUUUUAUCGGGGAAGAACGGCAGUCCUGCGGGAUUGUGUGACGGUACUCGAGGAAUAAGCACCGGCUAACUCCGUGCCAGCAGCCGCGGUAAUACGGAGGGUGCGAGCGUUGUCCGGAUUUAUUGGGUUUAAAGGGUGCGUAGGUGGUUUAGUAAGUCUGGUUUGAAAGUCAGUCGCUUAACGAUUGAGGGUGGCUGGAUACUGCUAAACUUGAAUGCGCUGGAGGUAGGCGGAACGGGUUGUGUAGCGGUGAAAUGCAUAGAUAUGACCCAGAACACCGAUUGCGAAGGCAGCCUACUACGGCGUGAUUGACACUGAGGC
RNAcentral lists this ribosomal RNA (400 nucleotides) under uncultured bacterium. Its description in RNAcentral is "bacterial SSU rRNA". It matches the Rfam family "Bacterial small subunit ribosomal RNA", at positions 355 to 752 of the family's 1533-position model. The record is from RNAcentral.